Molecule: long non-coding RNA, 426 nt
Filed under: Anas platyrhynchos platyrhynchos (common mallard)
Lineage: Eukaryota; Metazoa; Chordata; Aves; Anseriformes; Anatidae
Description: lncRNA (ENSAPLG00000023486.1)
Source: RNAcentral
AUGUCACCCAGCAAUGCAGAGCAAAAGGAGCCCACUUCUCUGAUCCAUCCCAGGUAUGGCGUGCAUGUCCCUGCAAGGACAGCAAAGGUCACACCAGUAGCCUGGGGACACCCAGGGAGCCUUUGUGCUGAAGAUGGCCCUGAGAGAGGAGACACAGUGGCUUCAUGGCUCCUCCAGGCCAGUAAUCCUGCAUACAUGAACGCCUGUGCGAGUAGAAGCAGGUUUCCCGGCAGAAACAUCAAUCACAGAACUGGAAGAGAGUGGCAAAAGGACAAAAGAGGCGGUAUCAUUUUCCCUUGUUUUGCUGCUACUCUUCUUUCUUUCACCUCGCUCCUCUCAGCUGCAGUGCUGCCCAUCUGUGGUGACAUGGACCCAGCCAGGGAAUACUUUCCACAGGUUCAGCACUGUGAGUACCAGGAGUUCUGA